UCCACAAAAAUGAACAAAAACAGUGUGAUAAAAUGAAUUUAUUGUGAUAAAAGUUUUAGUUUAACUAAUCUCCUUAACUAUUUGCUCUUUUUUAACAGAUCUGUGUGUUAACACGCUGCAGCUAAACAACAUGCACAGCCAAGGACAGAAGGAGGCUGACAGCAUCGUGAUCUGUGCAGCAGCAGCAGCAGCAGCAGACGCAUCGGCUGAGCCUGGUCUUACCAGAGAGCAGCAUCAGCAGCAGCGCGCUCAGCAGCUCAACGCCAGUCCGCCCCUCCCGCCCGACUGAAGACAUCUCUCUGCCUACAAAUAACAACAACAACAGCUGCUGUCUCCCUGUGAGAGGUGUGUAGUUAUGAAUUUAAAAAAGAGCAGGUAUUCUGCUCUUUAACGCUAAAAAAAAUUGCUAUUGUUUCAGAGAAGGGACAUGGCUGGCAGUGUCUGUAGCCGAGUGAUGGUUGGUUUUAUGGUUCUCGGGUCCUUUGCGAUUGGACAGACAGAACAAGAUGGAGGAUGGCUCCCCUUCUGGAAGGUUUUUUUUAAAAAAGAAAAUAAUUAUACAAAACUGAUUUGGUAAAGCGGAAUUACCUUAAAAACAAAUACAUUUCAACAAGUUAUUCAAAAAAGAGGUUAAAAACCUAAAAUAAUCAAUGUAAACAAUAUAUUUUAUUGUUAUUAAAGCAAUUAAAAGACAGUAUUUAACAGAUUUUAUACACAUUUCAUCUUGUAUCUCUUAAAAUAUAUAUUUUAUAAAAUGAUUAUGCAUUUAUUGAAAUUGAUUAUCUUUAUUUUGAUGAGAAUACUAUGCUGAGAAAAAAACAGGUGGUCGUGCCGACAAACAAAAAAAUAAACAGAACGUUAUGCCUCUCAUAAUCCAGUACUGAUCUAUGACAGUAGAGGGAUAUAAAACUAGCUAUACAUUUGGAGUAAUCACAUCUUCCCACCAGGAGAGAAACCUAUAAAUUAAAUGAAAAUGACGCUCUUAAAAAAUACAUACAAGAAAAUAAUAAUUAUAAAGGAAAAGUGUCAAGUUGGGGGUUAAUGCUCCCAAUAGAAGGCCUUAGCUAACCUGUUGCUCAAAUUAAUUUUGAUGUCACCUUUAAGAAAAAAUAAAUAAA
Oryzias melastigma (Indian medaka) is the source of this 1118-nucleotide long non-coding RNA. RefSeq lists it as uncharacterized. NCBI's taxonomy places the organism in Eukaryota, Metazoa, Chordata, Actinopteri, Beloniformes, Adrianichthyidae. The record is from RefSeq and is a predicted model, not a curated record. The transcript is spliced from 2 exons.